RNAcentral lists this long non-coding RNA (526 nucleotides) under Gossypium barbadense (sea-island cotton). RNAcentral describes it as "long non-coding RNA (GBAR_LNC007278)". Lineage: Eukaryota; Viridiplantae; Streptophyta; Magnoliopsida; Malvales; Malvaceae. The record is from RNAcentral.
UCGGAUAUCUCUAGAAGCUCAUACAAUGCCAACGUCCCAGACAUGGUCUUACGUGUAAUCAAAUAUCGAUGUCACUGUCCCAGACAUGGUCUUACACGUAAAUCACUAAUCGAUGCCAAUAUCCCAGACUCGGUCUUACACGAAAUCACGUAUAUCGCUGCCAACGUCCCAGAUGUGGUCUUACACGAAAAUCACUAAUCGAUGCCAAUAUCCCAGAUGCGGUCUUACACGAAAUAACGUAUAUCGCUGCCAACGUCCCAGACGUGGUCUUACACGAAAAUCACAUAUAUCGCUCUUUGAUACUAAUAAUUCACCUUAAAAAUCAAUUCACAUGCGAGAACAUAAUACGUACCUGACUAUCAUAAUGUAUCAUACAUAAUCAAUAGUAGUUUACCUCGAACUUUCGAAUUCAUAAGCUUACUUGAAUCACCGGCGUUAAGCCUGCUAGGUUUAGAACCCGAAUCCAGUCACCAGCACAAAACCUGCGGGACUUUAAGCUCGAAUAUAAUACCAGCACUAAGCCUGC